CAAACCAAUGAUGAGAAUACGUCAUGAGCCAAAGGUAUGAUUAAUCCAAUUCUGAGUUCCCAAAGUCCCUGAAAAGUAUGUG
Molecule: small nucleolar RNA, 82 nt
Filed under: Tursiops truncatus (common bottlenose dolphin)
Lineage: Eukaryota; Metazoa; Chordata; Mammalia; Artiodactyla; Delphinidae
Description: Small nucleolar RNA SNORD112 (ENSTTRG00000024742.1)
Source: RNAcentral